RNAcentral lists this long non-coding RNA (5992 nucleotides) under Homo sapiens (human). RNAcentral's name for it is "HSALNT0269933". The record is from RNAcentral. Lineage: Eukaryota; Metazoa; Chordata; Mammalia; Primates; Hominidae.
GUGAAAAAUGACAUUGGUAUUUUGAUAGGGAUUGCAUUGGUCAUUUUAUGGUCAUUUUAGCAGUAUUAGUCCUUUCUAUCCAUGAGCAUGAGAUAUCUUUCCAUUUGUGUGUGGCCUCUUCAAUUUCUUUCAUCAUUGUUUUGUAGUUUUCCUUGUAGAGGUCUUUCACCUCCUUGGUUCAAUUCAUUUUCAGGUAUUUUUGGUACCUAUUUUAAAUAAGAUUGCCUUCUUGAUUUCUUUCUUAGCUAGUCCAUUAUUAGUUUAUAGAAAUGCUACUAAUUUUUGUGUGAUUUUGUGUAUCCUAUGGCUUUAGUGAAUUUAUCAGAUCUAAGUUUUUGGUGGAGUCUUUAGGUUUCUCUAGGUAUAAGAUCAUAUUGUCUGUAAAGAGGGAUAACUUGACUUUCUCUUUUCCAGUUUGGAUGCCCUUUCUUUCUGUUGCUCGAUUGCUCUGGCUAGGACUAGUAUUAUGUAAGUGUUCCAUUCAUUAAUUUGCUGAACUGUAGUGGGAAGACAACCCUUCCCCAAACUCCGUUCACUCCAUACCUAAACGGACCAAGCACAUGCUUAGGGCACUAAUGAAACAGGAACACCAAGAUAAUGAGUAAACUUCAGCUUUUGGUGAACUUGGAAUUUUAUAAUCAGAGAUAAUCUAGAAAUAAGCCUUUCUAACUUCAGCAUACAUUAAUAUUUUGGCUUCCCCAGGCCCACUUGCAUCAUGUACUUCUUUCUCAGAUAAACACUCGAGGGACCUGAUGAGACUGAAAACAUCAAACACAGCCUCUGGGACAAGGAAAGUCUUUAAGAACUUUAGGGGUAUAUUAUUCUCAUACUCAAACACAUCUGCAGACCACCAAAGAUACUUCUCCUCGCAUCACUGUGAUCCUCUGGGCACAUCAGUCACAAAGAACCAGGCAAGUUAGUCCAACACGUUCACAUUUCUCCAAGUUGAUGCAAUAUCUGUGUACAUACUCAUACUCAGCAUAUGAAGAAUGAAGAACAAUUAGCAAAUUCCUUGCCUGAAUGUAUAAUUUUUCUCUUCCUAAAGGCUUUAAGUCUUCUGAAAAUUAAUAGAAGCAAGAAGGUGACAAAACUCUAUGGACACUCUUGGGCUUAAAUCUUGCCAGUCAAGUGUUUGAUCACAGACAAGAACUGACCCUCUCUGUGCUCACCAAAUGUCAUGCAGAGACUCUAUGACCUACUACCUCCUUGUGUUCUUCCUGCCUCUCUAGCUGUUCAGUUCAGACUUCUUAGGAGGUUCUCAGAGAUACCUCAAACUGCACAAGUCCAGGGGGAGAAUCUAGAACCUUUUCUAUACUGUAGAGGCUUUCUUGAAUGCCUCUUUGUCCCCACUGUAGCUCUUUUUGUUUAAACUUGUCAGUUGAUCUCUUAUGGCAGCCUUGCCCACCUUUGAUUUAUCCCUUAUACCAAGGUUUCUCAAUUUCCACAGUCUUGACAUUUGGUACUAGAUAAUCCUUUGUUGUGGGGGCUGUUAUGUGCAUUGUGAGAUGCUGAGCAGUGUCCCUGGCCUCUACCAGGAGAUGCCAGUAGCAUCCCGAGUUGUGACAAUCAAAAAUGUCUCUAGACAUUGCCAAAUGUCCCUCGGGGCAAAACUGUCACCUAGCUGAGAACCACUUCUCAAUCUGACCCUGAAUUAUCUUUGAGAAACCAAUAUUUACUGCAGUAUACCCUUAAAUAGUUGAGGGCUCCCAUUGUCUAUGAAUAAACUCCCUGGCAUGACAUAUUUUGCCUUUAUUAUAUCAUCCAACACCCCCCACCAGCACAGGCAGUUAGGUACCUUAUCUGCUGCUGACAGUCUCGUCCAGGGUUUGUCUGCCCUCCUGUCAUAGUCCUGCGCUUUUGCUACUUCCACGUAAUCACUGAAUCGUAUCAGAAUUUUUCUGUCUCUUAAUUCAUCAACAGUGGGUCUCUGAUUAAGCUAAAAUUAAAGAUCAUCAUAGUUAAGUAUCACAUGCCAAACUAGCUUUUUUGAAGUACUCUGAACAAACAGCACUUCUCUUAAAAAACAAAACAAAACAAAAAAAACCUGAAACUGGAAAAUAUAACCCAAAUACAAGCAAUCUCUAAUGUGAAGGGCUGAAAUUAUAUACUGUACUCUUAAAUCACAAUCCCCCUUCCUCCAACAUAUUUUAUCAGAAGGAGUCACACCCCCAGUAGUACAUAGCACCAGCUCAAGGAAUGGUUAGUGAAUUAACUUAGAUUUUAUGGCAUCACUGGCUUCAGAUACAAUUAGAUAAGCUUUUUAAAAGUACUAAUAAAGUUAUUAUAUGUCCAGCUUAGGAAGGAUAUUCUGUUAAUUUCAAGAGAAUUAUUAUGGAGCAGCACAACGAAGAAGGGGAAUCCAGAACACUUGAAUUUAGAAAUGGUCAAGGCUUUAAAAGUAGAUUAAGAUUUAUAGAGUUGCUACCUGUAUUGGCCAUAGUAAAUGUUAACUGUUUGAGUCACAGAGAACAAACCUUUGAGUCUAAUAAAGCUUUCUGCAACUGAGGAACUUCUAGACAUAUUGGAGGUGAACAAAAGCGAUGAGUGUAAAAUGUGACUAAAACACUGAUACCCAGGUAUGCUUUUCCUAGACACUGUAAAUUAAGAAAAUGCCAAUCAACUUCUGGCUUCCACCUGAACAUAAGUAAAAAAUGUCAUGUGCAUUGUGCACCUCUCCAAGUGCUACCGUGCUAGGGAAGGACUUCGUCCAUAGGGAACGUCAGAGGGAGUUAAUUCAUUGUUGCUGAGCAAAUAUCCUGAUUUAACUGAUGCCAUGAUGUCCAGGAGAACAUUAUUCAUGAUCACAGAGUGAUACCUAGCAUUACCCAUCCCACCUGCUACCGAAGCAGCUGUUCUCUAGACCACCUUUUAUUAUUCAGGCAAUAAAAUGCUUAUACUACCUUUCUUGUCAAUCUUUGCUUGAUUUCUCUUCUUUCUUCCUGCUCUGUCUGAUCAUUCCUUUCUGUGAAAGAUUAAAAUAGGAAAAAAAAAAUAACAAAGAGAAACAGGUUGAAACGUUCUUCUCUUCAGCAGGGAAGUGUUCCCAAGAUAUCCAUAUUUCUGGGAGCUGAAGUUAAUUCCACAUCACUCAUGGUGUUUUCUUCCCACUUUGUCAGUCACUGCUCAGGAGAUCAUGGUCUCAUUACACAGAAAUACUUGUACUAAGCAAAGCUUUGCUGUCAUCCCAACCUGGUCUCCUCAGCCCUUCUGUGCAUUAGAAACAACCACAGAUAUGGCUGCUGUUUGUUUAAGGAAGUAGACACCUCUGUGUCUGUCUUUCUCCCCAAAUAUCUUUAUAUUUACAUCUAGCACUUAGAUGCCACAUAAAAAAAGCUGUAGUAGACUAAGUAAAUAAAUGUAUAUGUACAUUUCAAUAUAAAUAGCACUGCCACUAAUUUUUUUCCUUAAUAAGCGUACAGACUUUUUAACCAACAUAAAACAUGGAACACCUUCUUCAGCUCCUGGGCAGCAUAUGCUUGCCUGGAAUUUAUAUGUUCAGACUAUAUUUCAAAUCUUAACACAUCUAUGAACCUCGCUGACUCUCCAUUGCUGAAGCGUGAACACUGUUAUAUGACAGUGCCUUUUAAAGGAGCCCAAGUCCCUCAGCAAAAUUAGCUUUGCUUGACCCAGAACACCCUCUGCAUUAUACAAAGCAAGGGACCCAUAAUCAGGACUGCUAUACUCAUAUUUUCUGGAAAUAGCUCCAGCAGCUUGGACAGUUAUACCUGAGACUUCCAUGAAUAUCCAGAAAUGUAUUACUGCUUCUGAUGCAGUAGUUAAGAAGAUGGGCAAUGGAGUUAGGCAGACCUGGGGUUGAACUCUAGUGCUAUCCUUUUCCCAAUAUUCAUUUAUUAAAAAGUGCAAACCUCACAAAUAUGUUGCAAUGAUUAAAUGAGGGAAUAUAUACCAAGUACUGAAUAUAGUCCCUGGCACAGAUUGGGCCUAAUAAAGAAUUACCAUCACCAUAUAAAGGGACCCCUGCUCUUCUGCUUUUCUAUCCACGUUAUAGUGUUAUAUGGGCGGAGUUUUGAGUGCUCCUCAGAUAUGACUGCAGUUAGUCAUGAGUUCCCCCUUGAAGCAAAUACAAAAGUGAUAUUCUAAGAAUUGGUUACAAGAAGAAAAUACAAUACAGUAUGAGUGCUUGAAGUCCUGUGUAUCUAGAGCCUAUGAGUAUGAUGUUUCAUACUAGGCUAUAUAUAGUUACCCUAUUCUCAUCUCCACAGAACAAAAGUAAAACCAAACACCCACCACAAACCUAGCAGUAAAAUUCUCAGGUCCUUCCACUCAGGACACUAGAGAGGGCUUCCGAGCUAAGGACAAACCUACAUUCACUGAUGAAGGCACAGUGUUUAUGGCGGGAUUGCCAUGGCCACCGCAGAGGAAACCCAUUUUCCCUUUCAUGCACUGAAGGUAAGGGCAGUCAGUUUCAGUUAUGCAUUUGCUAGCUCCCUAUUCACCAAAGAUAGUUCUAUUUCUAAGGCUCUGAUAUUUAUUUCCAAAGAUUAACACAAUUAGAAGUACUUGCUGAUGGGAAGACCUGGUUGCCCACGAUAGGAAGGAAGAGGCUGCUACUGAAAGAAGACAUGGUUCCUGGGUUAAAGGUCUGGGCUGUAGUACUCUCUUCCUGUUGCUGACAGCAGGCUACUUGGAAUGUGGUGCUUCCUGUGUCUUGAACUUGCCUGGUUCAAGUCUGGACUGCUACUUUUAGUAGCAUCUGCAACUUACAAGCUUUAUAAAUAAGUGACUUAAUUUUUAAAAAUUCAAAUAUUUGGCAACUGAAACAGCUUGACUUUUCUGUCUGCCUACUUAAUUAAGCAUGUUAUCAAUGAAGAGCUUUUCUUUAAAUCCUCAGAGAUGGUAUAGUUAACAUAGAACAGUAGUCACUAUAUCUUAAGUUUAAAAAGUAAAAUGAAGAAGUCUUUAUCUGAGGGUUAUUUUCAACAAUCUAUAAAGGAGGGGAUUGUUUUAGGCAGUUAAUGAAGGCACUGAGGCAAAGAAAGGAGGGAGGAAUCAAUUCAAGUUCAGUACCCAGACCAACAAGGGGCUCUGCGGUAUUUUCUGACAGAAAGUCAGCUUGGUACCAUUAUAACUUCAUAAAAAGAUGUUCACAAAUAAGAAAACAAACUCAGAGAAAGUCUGCAGUAUUCAUCACAUAAAGAGAAAAAAAGUCCUUUAAAAAUCCAAGCCAUUAGAAGACACUUUCUGUGGAAAAUGUUUUAAAAACUGAAAAUGACUAGAUAAAGAACUAUUGGAGAAACACUUUUUCAAGAGGUUUGGCCACCCCUAAAUCACUGACUUUAUGGAAUAUUUAAUGGAAUAUAGUGCCCUAGAGCAUGGAGGUUACUCAUGAACACCUAUGCUCAGCAUAUGCUAUAAUUGUCCACCUAACGGGAAAUGCAAGGGGUUGCAAGGCUGGGAGCAACAGAGGGUCCUGGAACCUCAAAGUCCUGAGCCACAGGAAAGCUUCUCAUGGCUUCACCGUUUCCCUGAGCUGACUGCUUUAUUCCUCCCAAGUGUAACAGGCAAGGGGCGUGUCCUUCUCUAGUGUGUUCAUGCGGUUCAUGCUUUGUGAUUUCUAUAGCCAUGAAGAACCCCGACCCAAACUGCCAGGAAGACCUGCUUGAAACCUAACGCACUUAGACAUAUGGGACUAACCCUGAAAAUAAAAACAUCUUUAUGCUAAGAGGAAAGGAGUUUUUUUAAAUUAAAAAAAAUGUUUCUAGGUAUAUCAGCUUUCCUUUGGGGCUUGCUUUCAGAAUUCAGCAGCAGCUCAGGUUUACUGGGAGCAUGGAGCAUUCCGCUUGCAGAGAAGGGCUGGGUUAUGGGAACUCAGGAUUUGUGCAACAGCCUCACCACACGUGAAGGAAAACCUCUAGAGGAAUCACCAGCUACUCACGUUUCAAGAUAUUUCUUCUCUCCAGCUCUUCCACGGCAGGUCUUUGGCUCAGCCGUCUGCGGAAAAACACUAAAAUUACAUUUUGCACCAUAGUGG